Molecule: ribosomal RNA, 498 nt
Filed under: uncultured bacterium
Lineage: Bacteria
Description: bacterial SSU rRNA
Rfam family: Bacterial small subunit ribosomal RNA
Source: RNAcentral
UGAACGCCAGCGACAGGCUAACACAUGCAAGUCGAGGGGCAGCACGGGAGUAGCAAUACAACUGGUGGCGACCGGCGCACGGGUGAGUAACGCGUAUGCAACCUACCUAUCAGAGGGGAAUAACCCGGCGAAAGUCGGACUAAUACCGCAUAAAACAGGGGGCACCGCAUGGUGAUAUUUGUUAAAGAGAUUCGCUGAUAGAUGGGCAUGCGUUCCAUUAGGUAGUUGGUGAGGUAACGGCUCACCAAGCCGACGAUGGAUAGGGGAACUGAGAGGUUGGUCCCCCACACUGGUACUGAGACACGGACCAGACUCCUACGGGAGGCAGCAGUGAGGAAUAUUGGUCAAUGGGGCGGGAGCCUGAACCAGCCAAGUCGCGUGAAGGAAGAAGGAUCUAUGGUUCGUAAACUUCUUUUGCAGGGGAAUAAAGUGCAGGACGUGUCCUGUUUUGUAUGUACCCUGAGAAUAAGGAUCGGCUAACUCCGUGCCAGCCGCAGC